UACGAAGGGUGCAAGCGUUAAUCGGAAUUACUGGGCGUAAAGCGUGCGUAGAUGGUUCAUUAAGUCGGAUGUGAAAGCCCCGGGCUCAACCUGGGAACUGCAUCUGAUACUGGUGGACUAGAGUGUGGUAGAGGAUGGCGGAAUUCCCGGUGUAGCGGUGAAAUGCGUAGAGAUCGGGAGGAACAUCCGUGGCGAAGGCGGCCAUCUGGACCAACACUGACGUUGAGGCACGAAAGCGUGGGGAGCAAACAGG
RNAcentral lists this ribosomal RNA (253 nucleotides) under uncultured bacterium. RNAcentral describes it as "partial 16S ribosomal RNA". It matches the Rfam family "Bacterial small subunit ribosomal RNA", at positions 524 to 776 of the family's 1533-position model. The record is from RNAcentral.